GAUGAAGAACGUAGCGAAAUGCGAUAAGUAAUGUGAAUUGCAGAAUUCAGUGAAUCAUCGAAUCUUUGAACGCAUCUUGCGCUCCUUGGUAUUCCUUGGAGCAUGCCUGUUUGAGUAUCAUGAGCAAACCUCAAAGUCAAUUCCUUUUGUUAAUUCAAUUGGUUUUGCUUUGGACUUGGAGGUCUUGCAGAUUUCACAGUCUGCUCCUCUUAAAUGCAUUAGCUGGAUCUCAGUAAUUAUGCUUGGUUCCACUCGGCGUGAUAAGUAUCACUCGCUGAGGACACUGUUAAAAAGGUGGCCAGGAAAAUACUGAUUGAACCGCUUCCAACGGUCUAUUAAGUUAGACAAUUACCCUUAAGUUUGAUCUCAAAUCAGGUAGGACUACCCGCUGAACUUAAGCAUAUCAAUAAGCGGAGGA
This 418-nucleotide unclassified non-coding RNA is filed under the name soil metagenome. RNAcentral describes it as "partial contains 5.8S ribosomal RNA, internal transcribed spacer 2, and large subunit ribosomal RNA". The stretch from base 1 to 120 matches the Rfam family "5.8S ribosomal RNA", at positions 35 to 154 of the family's 154-position model. The record is from RNAcentral.